RNAcentral lists this small nuclear RNA (123 nucleotides) under Suricata suricatta (meerkat). RNAcentral's name for it is "U2 spliceosomal RNA (ENSSSUG00005015492.1)". It matches the Rfam family "U2 spliceosomal RNA". Rfam says of the family: U2 is a small nuclear RNA (snRNA) component of the spliceosome (involved in pre-mRNA splicing). Complementary binding between U2 snRNA (in an area lying towards the 5' end but 3' to hairpin I) and the branchpoint sequence (BPS) of the intron results the bulging out of an unpaired adenosine, on the BPS, which initiates a nucleophilic attack at the intronic 5' splice site, thus starting the first of two transesterification reactions that mediate splicing. Lineage: Eukaryota; Metazoa; Chordata; Mammalia; Carnivora; Herpestidae. The record is from Rfam by way of RNAcentral.
AUAGCUUCUCGGCCUUUUGGCUAAGAUCAAGUGUAGUAUCUGUUCUUAUCAGAUUUCCACUCAGGUCAUGACCUCACAGCUUCUUGAAUUCAAGUCCCACAUCAGGCUAUGCACAGACCCUAC